Long non-coding RNA from Lepus europaeus (European hare), 2731 nucleotides. RefSeq lists it as uncharacterized. The transcript is spliced from 2 exons. NCBI's taxonomy places the organism in Eukaryota, Metazoa, Chordata, Mammalia, Lagomorpha, Leporidae. The record is from RefSeq and is a predicted model, not a curated record.
UUUGGGGGAGGCAGGGCCUCCGGGCGGCUUCUGACCAAUCAGGAGCAGAAAGGGGGUCUCAGGCCCCACCCUGAGGUGGGGAAGUCACGCGCCUGUUGCGCGAGCCUGUUGUGAAAUGGAGAAUGGGGGUGGGGAUUCUGUGGCUGGUUCUGGGAAGUCGAGGGCUUCUGAGGGUCUCUCCGGGAGGUGGCAGGAGCCCGGCUAUCACCCGCUGCCUCCCGAGGUGCACACAGCACGAAGCUGGAAUCGGAACUGGAACCCAGGAGCUCAGAGCCGGCGCCUGGGGCGUCCUGAGAGGUAUCUUAGCCACGCGCCAGGCAACGUGCAAGGGCCCACAGGUGGAAGAGGCCGAGACAGAGACGAGGACAGCCAGGACGUGGGGCGGCAGAAGCAGAGAGGGACAGCGGCGACCCCGGGGCUCUCCCAGGUCUCACUCUGCCACCUUCUGCCCGCACUCCCUGGUGUGCGUCUCAGGUGUGCCGCACCUCUCCUGCAGGGUCACUGGGCCAGCCCCUUGCUGUCCGUGUCAGCCCUGGCCCGGGCCUAGGCCCUUCCCUUGGAGCCCUGUGGCUUGGGUAACUUCGCACACGGCCCCAGGGCACUGCCUUGCGCCCCGAAUCUUCCUGUUCCCCAGCCCACCCCAGGAAGCUGGGAACUUAGGGUGUCCCUCAUCCUGCCCCACCCCAGAGCAUCCCCCUGUGCUGCCGUAGCAGCAGCCCCCUUGAGGGGUGGGGUUGGGACGGACCCAGCCCCAACCCAGACAGCACAGGGCACCUCCAGAGCGUGAGGAGAGCUUCAGGCCCGGGAACGACCCCAGCGGCGAGCAGGCUGCCCGCCGGCCCGGCGUGGGGAAGUGGCUGGGCCACAGAGGCCACAGGCCAGUGACUCAGACUGUGCAGUGCGGCCCAAAGGAGGUUUAUUGCCCCCGCCCAGGCCUCCCUCCCCUCCCCACCCCCAAUAAUUACAAAAGUAAGAAAAACGCCUGUGUCCCCGGAUCCCCAACCUUCCAGAAAAAUGUCAUAAUUUAUGCAGAAAUGGCACAGUCCAAAGGCAGCUGGCAGCCUCAACCCAUCUUCUUCCAGAUGGUGAGCGAGGCGGUGAGCACUCCGGCCCCCAAGAUGGUCAGUGUUUGCCACGUGGGGGUCCCAAAGUAGGAGAGGAGGCCGUCCUGGGGACAGGGACAUCAGCCGCGUCAGCACUUGGCCAGAUGUGAACAGGGAAGUCACAGGGCAUGGUGGGUGGGGACAACGGCCUAGGAUCAGGGGGGCCUAACGGGCUGGGGCCAAGGCCCUGAGGAAGCGGAGGCACCAGGGAGGGCAGGAGCCAGUGGGCAGCGGUAAAUCAGGACUGACCGGACGCUAAGGGAACCCGUUAUAGACCGUAUGCGACCAUUUGGAAGUGAAAAGGGGGCACCCUGUGCUCGGCUCCUGAAAGCUCGGGGGUCUCAGAGGUGGGGAAGGGCAGAGGGGUCUCACCCAACCACCCUGGUCUUGGAUCCAGCCCAGCAGCCGCUCUCGGAGGAAGUCCAGCGUCCAGCCCAUAAUAGUUCUGAUGAGCUCAGGCACCUUGGUGCACAGGGCCUGCAGGGAGCAGGGUGGGCGUCAGGGAUUGAGCCUUGUCCCCCCUGCUUGGAGACCGCACUCCCACACCUCCUGGCUCAGCCCCCUGCCUCCCCUCGCAAUCUUCCACCCGCAGCCAGUCGGCAUCAUAGCCCACAGCCCUGGCCAGCUGCCCCCAGGCCUGGGGCUCCCUCCCGAGGCGCAGCUCGGCCCUGGUGGACUUCGAUCAUCCGUCCCACUUCUCUUCAUCCCCACCAAACCCUCCCUCGGUGCCUUGUGCAGGCCGACCCUGCUGUUGCAGGCCACCCCACUCGCCCGGGAGCUCAGGUCAAAUGUCACCUCCGCAGAGAGGGCUUUCCUAGGCCAGGGGAGACCGGCACCUGCCCACGCCCCCGCCCCACCCCGGGCUGCUCCCCCACUGUCCCUGGCUCCGUUGCAGCCUGGCAGUCACCCCCCAGCCCCAGCAGCUGAGUCUUGAAGACACCCACUCCCCACCUCUGCUGCCGCCUGGGGCGAGGCCAGGCGCCACCGCACCGUUCUCGGCUUCUGCUCUGUGCCCCACAGCCCCCCCGCUGCACCCACAAUCACCAGGAUGAUUCCUCGGUCCGUCCCCACCAAUAGCUCUUUAAAUUAUCUCUGUUUUUCAUAGAGAAAAGCCGAAAGGAUUUCACAGUGAACAGACUUCUUAAGGUCAGCCAGGGGCAGGUGUUUGGUUACGACUUUGCUUGAGGGGCUUGGGGUUGGGGUGCAGUGGGUCAGGUCGCAGGCAUCCCGCACGGGCACUGGGUCACGGCCAUGAUGGAGCGCCAGCCCCGGCCGUGGCGGCCCUCUGGGGAGUGAGCCAGCAGGUGGAAAUCGGUCUCUGUAACUCUGUCUUUCAAACAAAUGAAUCUUCUAAGACACUGCUUAGGAUGCUGGCCUUGUCAGGCUCCCGGGUUCCAGCCUGGCUGGGCUCCCAGUCCCAGCUCCCUGCUAGUACGCGCCCCGGGAAGCAGCAGCCGGCGGCUCGGGCACUCGGGGCCCUGCCACCCACUUGGGAGGAGCAGCCGAGAGCGCGUCUGGGACUCGCAGACUGGCUGUGCGGGCACUGGGGCAUGGACCAGCAGACGGGUGAUCUCUCUGUCUCUGUGCCUUUCAAAUAAAUUAAUAAUAAAGCUUUCCAGUUAAAUAUA